RNAcentral lists this ribosomal RNA (500 nucleotides) under uncultured bacterium. Its description in RNAcentral is "partial 16S ribosomal RNA". It matches the Rfam family "Bacterial small subunit ribosomal RNA", at positions 30 to 523 of the family's 1533-position model. The record is from RNAcentral.
AUUGAACGCUGGCGGCAUGCCUUACACAUGCAAGUCGAACGGUAACGGGUCCUUCGGGAUGCCGACGAGUGGCGAACGGGUGAGUAAUAUAUCGGAACGUGCCCAGUAGUGGGGGAUAACUGCUCGAAAGAGCAGCUAAUACCGCAUACGACCUGAGGGUGAAAGGGGGGGAUCGCAAGACCUCUCGCUAUUGGAGCGGCCGAUAUCAGAUUAGCUAGUUGGUGGGGUAAAGGCCUACCAAGGCAACGAUCUGUAGUUGGUCUGAGAGGACGACCAGCCACACUGGGACUGAGACACGGCCCAGACUCCUACGGGAGGCAGCAGUGGGGAAUUUUGGACAAUGGGCGCAAGCCUGAUCCAGCAAUGCCGCGUGCAGGAAGAAGGCCUUCGGGUUGUAAACUGCUUUUGUCAGGGAAGAAAUCUUCUGGGCUAAUACCCCGGGAGGAUGACGGUACCUGAAGAAUAAGCACCGGCUAACUACGUGCCAGCAGCCGCGGUAA